Molecule: ribosomal RNA, 309 nt
Filed under: uncultured eukaryote
Lineage: Eukaryota
Description: partial 18S ribosomal RNA
Rfam family: Eukaryotic small subunit ribosomal RNA
Source: RNAcentral
CCCUUAGAUGUUCUGGGCGGCCCGCGCACUACAAUGGCGUGUGCAGCGAGUGCCGAAGUAGAGUUUUCCGAGGUAUUCUUGCAAUGCUCGUUUUGAUGGGGAUAGACCCUUGCAACUGUUGGUUUUGAACGAGGAAUUCCUUGUAAGCAUGGUUUAUCAUCCGACGCUGAGUGCGUCCCUGCCCUUUGUACACACCGCCCGUCGCUCCUACCGAUGAGUCGUCCGGUGAAGUUCGUAGACCUCGUGAUUGCGGAUCACUGGGGGAAGCAAAAUGAACCUCGCGGUUUAGAGGAAGGAGAAGUCGUAACA